UACGUAGGGCGCAAGCGUUGUCCGGAAUUAUUGGGCGUAAAGAGCUCGUAGGCGGUGUGUCGCGUCGGCCGUGAAAACCUGCAGCUUAACUGUGGGCUUGCGGUCGAUACGGGCAUCACUGGAGUUCGGCAGGGGAGACUGGAAUUCCUGGUGUAGCGGUGAAAUGCGCAGAUAUCAGGAGGAACACCAGUGGCGAAGGCGGCUACCUGGCCCACUCUUGACGCUGAGGCGCGAAAGCUAGGGGAGCAAACGGG
This 254-nucleotide ribosomal RNA is filed under the name uncultured bacterium. Its description in RNAcentral is "partial 16S ribosomal RNA". It matches the Rfam family "Bacterial small subunit ribosomal RNA", at positions 524 to 776 of the family's 1533-position model. The record is from RNAcentral.